AGGUUACUGCUAUCGGUGUUCGCCUAAGCCAUGCGAGUCAUAUGUUCGUAAGAACAUGGCGUACUGCUCAGUAACACGUGGAUAACCUGCCCUUGGGUCCGGCAUAACCCCGGGAAACUGGGGAUAAUUCCGGAUAACGCACAUAUGCUGGAAUGCUUUAUGCGUAAAAUGGAUUCGUCUGCCCAAGGAUGGGUCUGCGGCCUAUCAGGUAGUAGUGGGUGUAAUGUACCUACUAGCCUACGACGGGUACGGGUUGUGAGAGCAAGAGCCCGGAGAUGGAUUCUGAGACAUGAAUCCAGGCCCUACGGGGCGCAGCAGGCGCGAAAACUUUACAAUGCGGGAAACCGUGAUAAGGGGACACCGAGUGCCAGCAUCCUAUGCUGGCUGUCCGGGUGUGUAAAAUACACCUGUUAGCAAGGGCCGGGCAAGACCGGUGCCAGCCGCCGCGGUAACACCGGCGGCCCGAGUGGUGAUCGUGAUUAUUGGGUCUAAAGGGUCCGUAGCCGGUUUGGUCAGUCCUCCGGGAAAUCUGACAGCUUAACUGUUAGGCUUUCGGAGGAUACUGCCAAACUUGGAACCGGGAGAGGUAAGAGGUACUACAGGGGUAGGAGUGAAAUCUUGUAAUCCCUGUGGGACCACCUGUGGCGAAGGCGUCUUACCAGAACGGGUUCGACGGUGAGGGACGAAAGCUGGGGGCGCGAACCGGAUUAGAUACCCGGGUAGUCCCAGCCGUAAACGAUGCUCGCUAGGUGUCAGGCAUGGCGCGACCGUGUCUGGUGCCGCAGGGAAGCCGUGAAGCGAGCCACCUGGGAAGUACGGCCGCAAGGCUGAAACUUAA
This 838-nucleotide ribosomal RNA is filed under the name uncultured archaeon. RNAcentral describes it as "bacterial SSU rRNA". It matches the Rfam family "Archaeal small subunit ribosomal RNA", at positions 21 to 859 of the family's 1478-position model. The record is from RNAcentral.